Medicago truncatula (barrel medic) is the source of this 1409-nucleotide long non-coding RNA. RefSeq lists it as uncharacterized. The record is from RefSeq and is a predicted model, not a curated record. The transcript is spliced from 3 exons. NCBI's taxonomy places the organism in Eukaryota, Viridiplantae, Streptophyta, Magnoliopsida, Fabales, Fabaceae.
UCAAACUCCUAUCACUCACAUCUCUCAUACUCUCAAACACAUACCACCUUCACCAUCAAUAUCAUCAUCUUGUUUAUCUAAACAAUUUCUAAGUUUUUCAAUCUCCUCCAAUUUCGUGUAAUCUUAAUGCGGUUAAUUCAAAUCCUUGUGAAAUCUCCUUGAGGAUCUGUAGAUCUCCAUUCUAGAGCUUGAGCUAGAAAGAACAGGGCAUAAGGUCUGGGAACUAUCAAACCGAUUUUGUGAAGUUCAAGAUCCGAAAAACCAUUCUUAUUAGAGAAGAUUGAGAAGGAACUUACUUAUCAACCAUGGUUCGAUGAAUUAUAUUUCCCAGAGAAAUCUGAGAGGGGAAUGGAUAGAAGUUAAGUCUCAAUUUCAUUACGGUGUGACGGUGAUUUCCAACUAAUAUGUGAAGUUGGUCCAUCAAGUUCGACAAAAAGUUCUUCUAUUCAAGUGGAAAUUAUAGCAAUGAAAAAUAAAGCCCAAGUUAAGCUCACAUCUUUCAUUUAUGUCAUAUGCUUUUUUGUGGCUUUAAACAAGACAAUGAUUCAUUACUAAAAGUGUUGAUAGGUGAACUACAAUCAAAGGCGGCGACUCUGGUGGAUCCAAAUUCUAAACUUGGAGAGACUCGGACAUGACGGGAAAAAGGAAAGAUAUAUAUAUAUAUAUAUAUAUAUAUAUAUAUAUAUAGUGCAGUUCCUUCUUAAGGAACCAAGGUCAAUAUGCUUCCUAAUAAUAAAUUCACUUAGAUAGAACUAGCUCGUAGAUAUCUAUGGUGGCCUUGUCUUAUUGAUGAAUGAUCACUUGGGUUUUCAGAAAUUACCUUUGUUUUUGGGAAUUGAAAAUAAUGGUAAUUUUCAAAGACAAAGGCAUCUUCUGAAGACUCAAUGUUACCAUCCAUUGAUAAGAAUGUCUAGAUAUAUCUAAGAUCUUGUUCUGGCUCAGUCAAUUCAUUUAUAGUAAGAAUAUUGGCAUUGGUUCAUUUAGCAAGAACUGCAUUAUCCAUAUCUUUCCUUCUUCCCCUUCUUGUUCCAGCUUCUUCAGGUUCAGAAUUUAGAUCCACCUGAGAAGACACCUUUGAUAUUUAGUUCACCUAUUAGCACUCUUGGUAAUAAAUUACGACCCUUGGUCAAAGCCACACCAAAGCAUCUGAUAUAGGUGAAAGAUAUAAGCUUAACAUGGGGUUCCUCUUUCAUAACUUUUAUAUGCCCUUGAAUAAAAUAACUUUAUGCCGAACCUGAUAGCUUAACUUGGGCUUCCAUUGUAAUGGUUGAUAAUUUUUUUCCAUAUUGUGGGGAAAUAUUGUACGGAUGCUGUCAAAAAGGCACCUGGUUCAUUGUGUGAUCACUAUCUCUAUUGUAAGAGUUUAAUGUUACUUCUAUUGCAAUAGUUGAUAUUUUUUUCUCUUUUAA